RNAcentral lists this long non-coding RNA (1816 nucleotides) under Homo sapiens (human). RNAcentral's name for it is "HSALNT0345994". Lineage: Eukaryota; Metazoa; Chordata; Mammalia; Primates; Hominidae. The record is from RNAcentral.
CUCAGCCUCCCAAGUAGCUGGGACUACAGGCGCCCACCACCAUGCCCGGCUAAUUUUUUUGUAUUUUUAGUAGAGACAGGGUUUCACCAUGUUAGCCAGGAUGGUCUCGAUCUCAUGACUUCGUGAUCUGCCCACCUCGACCUCCCAAAGUGCUGGGAUUGCAGGUGUGAGCCACCGCGCCCAGCAUUUUUUUUUUUUUUUUUGAGAUGGAGUCUCACACUAUUGCCUGGGCUGGAGUGCAGUGGUGCCAUCUUGGCUCACUGUGACCUGUGCCUCCUAGGUUCAAGCGAUUCUCCUAUCUCAGCCUCCUGAGUAGCUGGGAUUACAGAUGCCAGCCACCACGCCUAGCUAAUUUUUGUAUUUUUAGUAGAGAUGGGGUUUCAUCAUGUUGGCCAGGCUGGUCUCGAACCCCUGACCUCAGGUGAUCCACCUGUCUUGGCCUCCCAAAGUGCUGGGAUUAUAGGUGUGAGCUGCUAUAUAUUUCUUGGCACUUUCAGUAAUAGAGGCUGUUAAGCCACAACACCUCAAGGGCUGGGCCAGUUCAAGGACCGAUGAGAAUGCAGACAGGAACUCAGAUAAGGGUACUGUACUUUCUUGUUGGUUUACUAUGGAACCAGCACACAGGCAGGAUAAAUAUGAGAUUAAGAACACAUGAUGUUAAAAUAGAUGUGGCUACUAGGGCCUCCCAUUUCCCUGACAGAGGCACACCUCAAGGCUGGGGCCUGUGCAGUGAGAAAUCCACCAGCAGAAUGAAGCCUAGAACCUUGGUCCACUGUCUUUUAGGCUAGGGGAAGAGGGGAGAAGUGCCUACAUUAGUCCAUGCCCAAGUUUGGGGAUCCUAUUUUCUUGUCCCACCACAAUACAUAUAACUUCCUUGCUAAUACAAUAUUUUUCUUUCAUUGACAUUGGGCCUACUUAAGAAGUCAGUGCAGGCCGGAUGUGGUGGCUCACGCCUGUAAUCUCAGCACUUUGGGAGGCCGAGGUGGGCAGAUUACUUCUAAGGUCAGGAGUUCAAGACCAGCCUGGCCAACACGGUGAAAACCCAUCUCUACUAAAAGUACAAGAAUUAGCCAGGUGUGGUGGUGUGCACCUGUAGUCUCAGCUACUCAGGAGGCUGAGGCAGGAGAAUCGCUUGACCCCGGGAGGCAGAGGCUGCAGUGAGCCGAGAUCGUGCCACUGUACUCCAGCCUAGGCAACAGAGCCAGGCUUGGUUUCAAAAAAAAAAAAAAAAGUCAGUUCAGUAACUGGCCAUCACUAACCAGAAAGACAGUCAGUAAAAGCUUAACAGAACACACAGUAAAGAAUUCAGUGGGUCCAGUGCAGUGGCUCACGCCUGUAAUCCCAGCACUUUGGGAGGCCAAGGCGGGCAGAUCACGAGGUCAACAGAUCAAGACCAUCCUGGCCAACAUGGUGAAACCCCAUCUCUACUAAAAAUACAAAAAUUAGCUGGGUGUGGUGGCGCGUGCCUGUGAUCCCAGCUACUCAGGAGGCUGAGGCAGGAGAACUGCUUGACCCCGGGAGGCUGCAGUGACCUGAGAUCACACCACUGCACCCCAGCCUGGCGACAAAGCUAGACCCUGUCUCAAAAAAAAAAAAAAAAGUAUUCAGUAACACUGGAUGACUAAUGAAAAUCCUGGAAAAAUUUAACUAGCUGGUAAAACCUAAUAGAAAUAAAGUGUUAAAGACCUAAGUGAUUUCUAGGCUUUUCUUCCAACUCAAUCAUUAAUCUGCUAAAUGUUUCUUUUAUACCUUCGAUCUUUAUUUUUAUACGAGAACUCUCUUUUCACCCCCGUAAGCACAGGCAACUGAUUCUCCA